Molecule: long non-coding RNA, 499 nt
Filed under: Bos taurus (domestic cattle)
Lineage: Eukaryota; Metazoa; Chordata; Mammalia; Artiodactyla; Bovidae
Description: long non-coding RNA NONBTAT014081
Source: RNAcentral
UUUUUCUGUAUAUUUGUUUAUUUAAAAAAGUAUAGGAAAUGAACAAAAUGCUGCCUAAAAAGUAUCUACAACAAAUAAAUUAUUUUGAGUUAAGCAUUGCAGAUCCCACGAAUCUGUCCUAACCCUCACCAAGGUUAUGUCCCAUAGACUUCUGCUUUUCCCCCUGGCUCUUCCUUGAGACCAACUUUAAAGGGAAGAGCCAAGGGUAUAUCGGUCUGGCCCCUUCAAGGAGGCAUGUUUUUGGAGAUUGACUUGAGGUCUCAGGAGAUAGUAACGUGGCCUGGAGUUUUGAGCUCUUGGUUAAAAGGGAAUGGCCACGUGGGGCCCCUGCAGGUAAAGAUGAUGUGUGUGAGGACAGCCACGCUUUGGGGGUGGAAUUCCGAGCGCUGAGUGACCCUCAGAAGAGGCCAAGAGGUCGGAGAAGGCAGAGAAUGGAGGAGCGGGGCCCCAGUGAUGGUUUUAAAUAGUGAUACAAUUUCAGUGAAAGGAAAGGAGCCAC